AGCGGCGGACGGGUGAGUAACGCGUGGGUAACCUGCCUCAUACAGGGGGAUAACAGUUGGAAACGGCUGCUAAUACCGCAUAAGCGCACAGUACCGCAUGGUACGGUGUGAAAAACUCCGGUGGUAUGAGAUGGACCCGCGUCUGAUUAGGUAGUUGGUGAGGUAACGGCCCACCAAGGCGACGAUCGGUAGCCGGACUGAGAGGUUGAACGGCCACAUUGGGACUGAGACACGGCCCAG
This 240-nucleotide ribosomal RNA is filed under the name uncultured bacterium. RNAcentral describes it as "partial 16S ribosomal RNA". It matches the Rfam family "Bacterial small subunit ribosomal RNA", at positions 94 to 334 of the family's 1533-position model. The record is from RNAcentral.